Molecule: RNA transcript, 1370 nt
Organism: Monopterus albus (swamp eel)
Lineage: Eukaryota; Metazoa; Chordata; Actinopteri; Synbranchiformes; Synbranchidae
Gene name: trafficking kinesin-binding protein 1-like
Exons: 5
Source: RefSeq, a predicted model, not a curated record
UCUCCACGCCUUGUUGCCCCCCUAUCCUCUGCUUGCUAUCUCUGUUCACUACACCAUGCUUGUUCAUGUACUCUUGUAAUUUUGACGCUGUCUCCUGUUUGUUCCUUUGUGUUUGUGACCCUGUAAACUGUUCUCUUGUUAGUUUCCCCAGUCUUUAGUUUCUUGCCCUGCUCCCUGACCUACUGUUUAGUUUAGCAUUUUGGAAUUCUUUGCUUGUGUGUUUUUCCCCUUUAGCCUCGUUCUCUACUAUUUAAUAAAGCCCUAUUUGAACCUUCCCUUGCCUUGUGUGUCUGCAUAUUGGGUCCUUCCCAGCCCUUAACCAUAACAUAGUGGAAUGGCCUGCAGACCAUCGGUGUGAUGAUAUAACUGGACCUGAUGGAUGAGAGGACAGAUGCACAAGACAUCCUGGAAAACAAGCUGCUGCCACUCCGCAGAGGCUCAGUGACUCUGCACCAGUGGCAGCAGCUGGCCAAAACAAACCUGGGAGGUAUUCUGCAACCACGUCCGGGUGUCUUGACUAAAGACUUCAGGGAGCUUGAGGUGGACAUACAGCAGGUCUGCAGCCUGAACAACCUGGAGGAGCAUGAGCCUGACCUCUCACAGCCCUCUGGAGCACAUGGCAGGUCUCUCCAUCUGGUCCCAACCUCGGCCAGACCUCUCCCACACAUACCAUAACCACCUGCCACGUCCUCUGACCCUCCCUCCUCAUGCCCUCCAUCUCCACUAGAACUGCGAGCAUGUAAGCACUUCAUCUCCAACCCACCAGCAGCACUUUGGCCUGGGACACCAGACCACCUCCACCAUGACCACAAACAUAACCAGUUCAUCCCUGGGACUCCUGCAGCUGCUGCAAGAGCAUAGCAUCUCGGCCUCUCUUUAUCCCCACCACAACCUGCACCCAUACUACCAACCUGCAUCCUACAGCCAUAGCACAAAACCUUCAUUCUCCACAGAAAAAGACAAAGGCUCAUCAUCAGACAAAAAAAAGAAGGAAUAUUUUCAGCCUGAACUUGAUGGGGAAGCUUCAGAGCCUUGGGUUGCAAAGAGUGGCAGUCUGGGGGCUGAUGGGUCAUAAUGGCAAAGAGAGACAAGCAGUCGGGCAUCCUCCGAAAGUCUGACGGGGGCUGAUCCACCAUGUACUCUCUCAUUCACUGAAGUGACUUGACAUCAGGCCAUGUGAUCGCCACAGCACUGGCAUCCUGAAAACAAAAACCCCAAAAUAUAGAGCCAUACUUGAGUUUUUGCCCUUAUGUUUUUUUUGUAUUUUUUUUUUUUAUGAAUUUGUGUACAGCAGAUAAAUUCACUGUGUGGGUGACAUCUUUACCUCAAAACAAUCACCUGAUCACUGAUUACCAGUCUGUUUGACUGAC